RNAcentral lists this ribosomal RNA (419 nucleotides) under uncultured Prevotella sp. RNAcentral describes it as "bacterial SSU rRNA". It matches the Rfam family "Bacterial small subunit ribosomal RNA", at positions 358 to 774 of the family's 1533-position model. The record is from RNAcentral. Lineage: Bacteria; Pseudomonadati; Bacteroidota; Bacteroidia; Bacteroidales; Prevotellaceae.
GGAAUAUUGGUCAAUGGCCGAGAGGCUGAACCAGCCAAGUAGCGUGCGGGAUGACUGCCCUAUGGGUUGUAAACCGCUUUUGCAUGGGAAUAAAGUGGGGGACGUGUCCUCCUUUGCAUGUACCAUGAGAAUAAGGACCGGCUAAUUCCGUGCCAGCAGCCGCGGUAAUACGGAAGGUCCGGGCGUUAUCCGGAUUUAUUGGGUUUAAAGGGAGCGCAGGCCGUAGAUUAAGCGUGACGUGAAAUGCCGCGGCUCAACCGUGGAAGUGCGUCGCGAACUGGUUUACUUGAGUGGGUACGAUGCAUGCGGAAUUUGUGGUGUAGCGGUGAAAUGCUUAGAUAUCACGAAGAACCCCGAUUGCGAAGGCAGCGUGCAAGUCCCUUACUGACGCUAAUGCUCGAAAGUGCGGGUAUCGAACA